AAGUGUUGUAGCUCCUUUAGAAUUUGUCUAGCAGGUUUUAUAGGUUUUGCCAGAAAAUUUCCCAC
Molecule: non-coding RNA, 65 nt
Organism: Pongo abelii (Sumatran orangutan)
Lineage: Eukaryota; Metazoa; Chordata; Mammalia; Primates; Hominidae
Source: Rfam